AGGGUGCGAGCGUUAUCCGGAAUUACUGGGUUUAAAGGGUGCGUAGGCGGCUUUGUAAGUCAGGAGUGAAAGUUUGCGGCUCAACCGUAAAAUUGCUUCUGAUACUGCAUGGCUAGAAUUAGGAUGAGGUCAGCGGAAUGUGGCAUGUAGCGGUGAAAUGCAUAGAUAUGCCAUAGAACACCAAUUGCGAAGGCAGCUGACUAGACCUGGAUUGACGCUGAGGCACGAAAGCGUGGGGAGCGAACAGG
This 248-nucleotide ribosomal RNA is filed under the name uncultured bacterium. Its description in RNAcentral is "partial 16S ribosomal RNA". It matches the Rfam family "Bacterial small subunit ribosomal RNA", at positions 529 to 776 of the family's 1533-position model. The record is from RNAcentral.